This 257-nucleotide ribosomal RNA is filed under the name uncultured bacterium. RNAcentral's name for it is "partial 16S ribosomal RNA". It matches the Rfam family "Bacterial small subunit ribosomal RNA", at positions 524 to 776 of the family's 1533-position model. The record is from RNAcentral.
UACGGGGGGGGGCAAGCGUUGUUCGGAAUUACUGGGCGUAAAGGGCGCGUAGGCGGUUCGCUAAGUUGGAUGUGAAAACUCUGGGCUCAACCCAGAGCCUGCAUCCAAAAACUGGCGGGCUAGAGUUCUGGAGGGGGUAGCGGAAUUCCUGGUGUAGCGGUGAAAUGCGUAGAUAUCAGGAAGAACACCCGUGGCGAAGGCGGUUAGCUGGGGCAGUUGCUGACACUGAGGCGCGACAGCGUGGGGGAGCAAACAGG